CCGUGUUUCAGGACAAUUUGCACAUCGUCCGUUACGUCCAAUCGGUUUCUUAAUUCCAUUUUAAUUACGAUCGCUGAAAAGAAUCCAAACUCACAGAAAUAUGUAUUAGCAAAUUGAAUAAAAAAAUUCCCUUGCACUGGUAUACAGCUCACGGAUAAACCUUCGUCAAUAUACAUGCAAAUUCGAUUAUAUUUUUUGUUUGAAAAUCGCGGUGCGCCAUUUCUUUUGAUAUUAAAUCAAUUAAUUCGUUUUUAACAAAGUC
Non-coding RNA from Cinara cedri, 262 nucleotides. Lineage: Eukaryota; Metazoa; Arthropoda; Insecta; Hemiptera; Aphididae. The record is from the annotation of a GenBank genome assembly.